UACGGGGGGGGCAAGCGUUGUUCGGAAUUACUGGGCGUAAAGGGCGCGUAGGCGGUUCGCUAAGUUGGAUGUGAAAACUCUGGGCUUAACCCAGAGCCUGCAUCCAAAACUGGCGAACUGGAGUACUGGAGGGGAAAGCGGAAUUCCUGGUGUAGCGGUGAAAUGCGUAGAUAUCAGGAGGAACACCGGUGGCGAAGGCGGGUCUCUGGGCCGAUACUGACGCUGAGGAGCGAAAGCAUGGGGAGCGAACAGG
RNAcentral lists this ribosomal RNA (253 nucleotides) under uncultured bacterium. Its description in RNAcentral is "partial 16S ribosomal RNA". It matches the Rfam family "Bacterial small subunit ribosomal RNA", at positions 524 to 776 of the family's 1533-position model. The record is from RNAcentral.